RNAcentral lists this ribosomal RNA (242 nucleotides) under uncultured bacterium. RNAcentral describes it as "partial 16S ribosomal RNA". It matches the Rfam family "Bacterial small subunit ribosomal RNA", at positions 112 to 353 of the family's 1533-position model. The record is from RNAcentral.
AACACGUGAGCAACCUGCCUCUGAGAGGGGGAUAGCUUCUGGAAACGGAUGGUAAUACCCCAUAAAAUAUAAAUAUCGCAUGAUAGAUAUAUCAAAGAAAUUCGCUCAGAGAUGGGCUCGCGUCUGAUUAGAUAGUUGGUGAGGUAACGGCUCACCAAGUCGACGAUCAGUAGCCGGACUGAGAGGUUGAACGGCCACAUUGGGACUGAGACACGGCCCAGACUCCUACGGGAGGCAGCAUG